This 1298-nucleotide ribosomal RNA is filed under the name Aspergillus niger. RNAcentral describes it as "partial small subunit ribosomal RNA". It matches the Rfam family "Eukaryotic small subunit ribosomal RNA", at positions 68 to 1289 of the family's 1831-position model. Lineage: Eukaryota; Fungi; Ascomycota; Eurotiomycetes; Eurotiales; Aspergillaceae. The record is from RNAcentral.
CCUUUUUUUAAUACCUGGUUGAAAACUGCGAAUGGCUCAUUAAAUCAGUUAUCGUUUAUUUGAUAGUACCUUACUACAUGGAUACCUGUGGUAAUUCUAGAGCUAAUACAUGCUGAAAACCUCGACUUCGGAAGGGGUGUAUUUAUUAGAUAAAAAACCAAUGCCCUUCGGGGCUCCUUGGUGAAUCAUAAUAACUUAACGAAUCGCAUGGCCUUGCGCCGGCGAUGGUUCAUUCAAAUUUCUGCCCUAUCAACUUUCGAUGGUAGGAUAGUGGCCUACCAUGGUGGCAACGGGUAACGGGGAAUUAGGGUUCGAUUCCGGAGAGGGAGCCUGAGAAACGGCUACCACAUCCAAGGAAGGCAGCAGGCGCGCAAAUUACCCAAUCCCGACACGGGGAGGUAGUGACAAUAAAUACUGAUACGGGGCUCUUUUGGGUCUCGUAAUUGGAAUGAGUACAAUCUAAAUCCCUUAACGAGGAACAAUUGGAGGGCAAGUCUGGUGCCAGCAGCCGCGGUAAUUCCAGCUCCAAUAGCGUAUAUUAAAGUUGUUGCAGUUAAAAAGCUCGUAGUUGAACCUUGGGUCUGGCUGGCCGGUCCGCCUCACCGCGAGUACUGGUCCGGCUGGACCUUUCCUUCUGGGGAAUCUCAUGGCCUUCACUGGCUGUGGGGGGAACCAGGACUUUUACUGUGAAAAAAUUAGAGUGUUCAAAGCAGGCCUUUGCUCGAAUACAUUAGCAUGGAAUAAUAGAAUAGGACGUGCGGUUCUAUUUUGUUGGUUUCUAGGACCGCCGUAAUGAUUAAUAGGGAUAGUCGGGGGCGUCAGUAUUCAGCUGUCAGAGGUGAAAUUCUUGGAUUUGCUGAAGACUAACUACUGCGAAAGCAUUCGCCAAGGAUGUUUUCAUUAAUCAGGGAACGAAAGUUAGGGGAUCGAAGACGAUCAGAUACCGUCGUAAUCUUAACCAUAAACUAUGCCCAACUAGGGAUCGGAACGGUGUUUUCUAUUAUGAACCCGUUCCGGCACCUUACCAAAAAAUCAAAGUUUUUUGGGGUUCUGGGGGGGAGUAUGGGUCCCAAGGGCUGAAAAUUUAAAGAAAUUUGACCGGAAGGGGCACCACCCAGGGCGUGGGAACCCUGCGGGUUUAAUUUUGACUUCAACACGGGGGAAAACUCCCCCAGGGUCCCAAACAAAAAUAAAGGGAUUUGAACAAAAUUGGGAAAACCUCCUUUCCUUGAACUCUUUUGGGAAGGGGGGGGGGCAAAGGGCCGCUCUCUUAAUUUGGGGGGAGAGAGAAAUUUGCC